Panicum virgatum (switchgrass) is the source of this 4164-nucleotide long non-coding RNA. RefSeq lists it as uncharacterized. Lineage: Eukaryota; Viridiplantae; Streptophyta; Magnoliopsida; Poales; Poaceae. The record is from RefSeq and is a predicted model, not a curated record. The transcript is spliced from 2 exons.
UAGACGUCCCUGUCAGUGAAACCUGGGCCCAAAUCGCAGCCACUGCUUGUGAUUGUUGCUGAGGCGAGACCUGCAAGUUCAGCUCCUAAUCCUGGUGCAUUUGCGUGCCAUCGACCCAACGAGGAACCUUUUUUUUACAAGUCGUGCGUCAAGAAAAGAAGGAGAUUCCCUCCUUUCCGUGGGGAAAAGAAAGGGACAAAGGCGAAGUGACGUAUCUUCCUCCUCACCCUACCGUCUGAUUUCUAUAUGUUAUUUGUGCACCGCUCGGUGACCUUCUAGACUAUCCACGUCGGUCAAAAUAAUUUUCACCGUCGGAUGACAAAUCAACUACUCACAUUCAUCUCAUCCACCAUAUUACUGUACCAGCAAAUAUCUCCGUUCCGCUUCGAGAGCCUUCUUCUCGUUUCGGCGUGGGCACAGCAAACUCAGAUCCAGCCGCCUCCGGACACCGUUGCGGUGAGGACGCAGCGGAGGAGCUCAUCGGCCGCUGCCUGACAACUGACCCUCCAUGGAGGCUGAGCAGGCGCAGCACCUCCGCCGUGACCUCGUCAACGGUCGCCUGCCCACCUCCAUCACCUCAUCCUCCACCUUUUCAUCCUUCUCCAGAUGCUCCCCCCUCGCCGCCCGUUCAUCUCCAUUUCCGUGUCCGCCUUCGGCUUUUUCUCCGGCGAGGACGGAUCUCCACCUCGCCAAAUGACCGGGCGCGAUGGUGACUCUGCUCCCCUUCUCUGAUUCUUCCCGCUAGCGCUGGCUGCCCUUCCUCCUAGUGCACCGCGAAGGAGGCGGCAGACAUACGGUUCCUGGGCCUCCUCAUGGCGGCCUUCGUGGCGGGGUAGCUGCCGCGCGCGCUGGUGGCGGCGAUCCGGCGGGCCUGCCUCUUCGUAGUUGCAGCUCGCCAUGAUCUCGAGCUCGCCGUGGAGGUCAAUGCGGCAGUGCAUGCGAUUCUGUGCCAAUCACCGGCGCGUACAUUCCGUUCCCCGCCGCCUGCAUCUUGUCAAGCAUCUCCACCGCCGGCAUGUUCAAAUUCGCACUGGAGCUCUUCUUGCUCUGGCCGUUGCGGCAUCAGUGUCGACCUCGGCAUCCGUCGAUCUGGCCGCCGCUGCUGGGCUGGCCUUCCCUUCCCUUAGGUGCCCUCUGCCUUCCGCUCUUCAACCUUCUUUUCUUGUCUCCGUUCCUCUUUAGCCUCUGCUCCUCUCUUCUCAAUUCAAGGCGCAGCUCUGCUCUUGCUCUACUAAUCUGUGCUCCCGGUGGAUUAUGCAUCGUCCACCGCUGUGGUUCGGGAGCCUCAGAUGGGGAGUGUCCGCAUCUAGGAAGAUCUAAUUGCAGGAUUUUUUUGUAUAGGCUAGAUAUAUUUAGGUGUAUGAACGCUGUUGACAAUAAAUGGUUGAACAAAAAUGCAUGAUUCAGCUUAACAUACAAACAUAUCCAUUGAGCUUUUAUGCCCUUGUAAGAUCUAAUUGCUAUUCCAUUGGAAACUGACCAAUUGCUGAAUAAAUAAUCAAUCUGCUUAGCAGUACACUUAAUCUCCGGAGGUGCUCAUUAUUGGCUUAAUUUUAUAUACAUAAACAGAAAAUUAGAACUCUGUCCUGCUAAAAGUUUCAACUACUAUAGUCAAGUUAGCAACAUUAGAUUUUUUUUCACCUUGCCGAUGCAAGAUGCCAAACUAUAACUAAUAUUUUCAACACUUCUAUAGUGAAGGUUUGCUCUUUAUUCAGUGCAACUUUUAGCAACGAAUCUUUUAUGGUGUCUUCCAGGCAUAGCAGUUGUUCCGGAAGGACUCAAAGAUAAUCACUCCUGAGGCUCUAGCUACUGUUAAGUCUGCUAUUGCAGAUAGUGGGAACGACAAGAAGGUUGAACUAACAAAGAAUUCUUUCAAAAAAGAAAAGUAAGAAAGAAGGCAGGCAGCUAGGUGAAGUUGGGAGGACCCAACCUUGACGGAUAGUCUGAAAGUAAGUUCUCUAAUUCUCUGUUGUCUGCUUGUCUUAUUCAUGAUGUUUCUCAGAUCCAUAAUUUUGUGAUUUAUGGAAUAUUUUAAUUUGGCAAUGCAACAUUUUUUAGCUCUUAUUGUCCAUCAACUUGAAGAUGACAAAGUAACCAUGAGUUAAGUUGUCAUUCUCGCAGGCAAGAUAUAAUGCUCUAUGAUCUAUCAUGAUAGAUCAUGAUUUGAUCUGAAACUCUGAAAGAAACUGAUCUUUUCUUCCUUUUUUUAAAGGUGCUCAAAGGUGUCAUGUGUGAGCCAACAUGUUGCCACACGGGAUUUAGGUGGGCUUGCAGAUGAUAUAGUAAACAUCUACAAUUUUUUAUCUUACCAAAUUUACUUGCAGAUGAUAGAUGUUAAUAAAGAUCUGACAGAAAGGGAAACACCAAAGGCUAGAUUAAUAUGUGCGGAGGCGAUGAUGUUUGCCAACUUUGAAUUCGGUUUGUCAUUGUUCCCUGAUCUUGAGGCAGUUUAAGGCUUUGUCAUGUCUGUUUUUUUUGUUAGGUUUGUGAGUUGGUGUAUGCAAUGAUCUGAGUACAUCCCAACAUUUUUUUAAUAAAUCUACAGACAAUGUGUUUGUUCUGUGGUAAAUAUUUUAGUUUUCACUGAUUUGUUUUUUAAUAUAAUUCAAACUUGCAACCUUCUACUGAUGCAAUAAGACACCCGAAUCUCGGUUACAUGUUAUUGCAAUCCAACAAGGCAAACAAUGUCUGUACAAAGCUGGAGGAGACCACCUUGCUUCUUCAUGGCCUGUAAAUUGGUUAGGUUAUCAUUAAAUAAAUGGUUGGAAAAUUGGAAAUAGAGCUAGAUUAUAGUCUAAAUGGUAUGGCAAUUUGGAAAAGCAAAUGUAGCUUUCCCAUGAUUCAGUGAAUAAAUUUGUUUCAACAUUAUAUUUGUGUACAACAAUUCAAUUUGGAAUCUAAUUUUAAACAGUAAGCUAAAUUUGCGAUUAUAUUUGCUUGGCCAUAAAAACUUGGGUAUUCUCAACAUUCUGUUUGUAAUUGUGAUUGCUUCUUAGAAUACUCUUAUUAUAACAAUGUGCUUUUGUUGAAGUCUAUGAUUUGAAGAGUAUAUCGUUUUACUGCUACUAUUAUACCAAAGUACUUUAUAAGUUUAUAAUAUAAGCUUUGAAAGUAACAACGAUGUAUAUACAAGCUUGCAUCUUGGUAAGUUACUUUUCCUCCUUACUUUUAGUUAUCUAUGAUAUUGCUGAUAAUAAUAGCUGCAAUUUAUUAGUUUUGUGCCUGAGAAACUUUCGUAUAUUAUAUGCUAUUGUGUAUAAGUUCAGCUUAGUAUACAUUCUGCUUUGAAUAUAGCUACGCUUUGUCUUAUUCAAAUUCCAACAAUGCGACCACUGAGAAGUUAAAUUAUUAUUAUCUACUAAAAUACUACAAGCUACCUAUGAUAAAUCAGGAUGGCCAACUGGCUGACAUUUUUUUUACAUUUCUAUUCUUCUCAUCUCUUCUCUUCUAUUCUUGUCAUAUAUUACUCUUCUUACUUAUGCUCUACUACUCAUUUCAAUUCAAUUGAUUUAGAUACUGCGAAUGCCAAAUAGAUUUUUUUUUAAAAAAAACUACACACCCUUAAUUGCAUGCCUUCUAUUACCAUACAACUAUCUUCUUUAUCAUUGCAGGAAACUCAUGGUCAUCGCCGCAGCAAUAGUGAUGUACCUCGGCAAGUAUCAGGAGCCCAAAUCAUAGUUUGCAUGUGCUCUACGCACUUACCGUCCAUAUUAGAAUCUAAUGUGAAAAGGAUGGGCGUGCCUCGACAAAAAAAAAAGGCGACGCUUCAGGUCAACAAACCACACUCCCUCCCAAGAACAACGCUGCCACAAACAGGAGGCGCCUCGACGGUCAGCUCUCGAUCCGGCAGACACGAGAGAAAUCCGAGACCAGGGAGUGCAUGCUACUAGUGUACUCCUACGUACACGGGAAGGGAGAGGCGACGCAAGCCGAGGACGGGAAGGGACCCGUCCGGCCCGCGACGCACAUGCCUAGGCGAUGUGCAGACUGCAGAGACUUUCCUCGGUGGCGUUUCCCGGGCCCUGGCCAGGCGGCCGCCGUCCUUUCCUUGGUGGUUGCAAACAAACGGUGGCGUCCGCAGGCCGCAGCCUCCGCAACAACCCGAAGCUGGCUGCCUCGCGCCCUGUCCAUCCAUCCGUUCUCUGUUCUCCAAGGCCAACGCGA